RNAcentral lists this ribosomal RNA (446 nucleotides) under uncultured bacterium. RNAcentral describes it as "partial 16S ribosomal RNA". It matches the Rfam family "Bacterial small subunit ribosomal RNA", at positions 338 to 795 of the family's 1533-position model. The record is from RNAcentral.
CCUACGGGUGGCAGCAGUCGAGAAUCAUUCACAAUGGGGGAAACCCUGAUGGUGCGACGCCGCGUGGGGGAAUGAAGGUCUUAGGAUUGUAAACCCCUGUCAUGUGGGAGCAAAUUAAAAAGAUAGUACCACAAGAGGAAGAGACGGCUAACUCUGUGCCAGAAGCCGCGGUAAUACAGAGGUCUCAAGCGUUGUUCGGAAUCCCUGGGCGUAAAGCGUGCGGUGGCGUGUUCGUAAGUCGGGUGUGAAAGGCGCGGGCUCAACCCGCGGACGGCAGAUGCUACUGGGAGACUAGAGUAAGGGAGGGGGAAGCGGAAUUCGCGGUGUAGCAGUGAAAUGCGUAGAUAUCGAGAGGAACACUCGUGGCGAAGGCGGGUUCCUGGACAUUAACUGACGCUGAGGCACGAAGGCCAGGGGAGCGAAAGGGAUUAGAUACCCUAGUAGUC